GAGAACCAAGCUGCCUGAAACCUAACCUGAUCCCAAAGCAGUAGGAGGACUACAAGGAGGAGACCAAGCCUGUCCAGGCCUGGGUACAAGGUGCGCCCCCCUCCCCCUGGGGAUGGACUUCGAAAGGGAAGAGAAACCACCUAAAGAUGCUGUUCUGCCACCGCCACAGCCCCAGGGUGCUCCAGGAGAGUCAGGGCACACAGCCACCUCUUGCGUCCCUUGUGCACCCAAGGAGGAAGGGCUUUGGAGAAGUGAAGAGCCAGGCGCACGGCCACUUCAUAAGUCCUCUGCAGAGCCAAGGAGGAGGGGCUUUGGAGAAGUGACAACCUUGAGGAGUUUGCCACCACCCCUGCCCUUGCUCAGGAUCAGCCGUGCCACUUUUGUGAAGUAGCCCCCACUGGAGAACAAGUUUGCUAUGGCGAGUGGAUUCCAGCUCAUCUCCUCUGUCUGCUACUUGGAGUCUGGAAAUGACUGGUGGGUGAGCAAGCACAUUAAGAAGCCGAUUCGCUCCACAGUCUUCAGCUUGGGCUGGCACCUCAACAACAUUUGGCUGGCUGCAGGGUCAUGUGACUUCAAAUGCAGCCAGGUGUCCAUUUACGAGGUGGACCAACAGGACUGUCGCAAAUUCUGUACCACUGGCAUCAACGGGGCCAUGAUGAUCUGGGAUUUCAACGUAUGUCUCUCCAGUGGCAGUUGGCAGCGCUGGUGUGCAGCCCGGGCCAUGCAUGAACUAUCCACUGAGCCGCCCUGCCACAGUGCCUGCUAGAAGAGCUGACCCCAGAGUCCCUAAGACAAGGGGAGCACAGCCACCGGCAGGCAACCUGGAAGCCACCAUGGGUGUUAAUAUCCUGAUAGGAGCCACAGGUCAGUAGAGAGCAGUAUGUUCCUUUUGUCACAGCAAGAAAAAUGGUUAUUUUGCUGGACAAGGACUAUUUCACUAAUUCUGGAUGAAUACUGUUUUUGGUAUAUGUAUUUAUUUGUUUGUCUGUUUUUGUUGUUGUUUGUUUCUAAUCACCAGAAUUCCUUUGAUACUGCAUGUUGAGCAUUUUUGGAUAAUUGCACUUCGUGGGACCUAACAAGUUUAAACUUGUUUUUUAAAUUAUUUAAAUUAAAUAGUGUAAUCAGGAGAGCCUGAUUAAACUAUUCCCACCUAUUAUGUCCUUUUAAAAAGUAAUGGGUUUAGUUAUCACAUGCCACUUUAGAGAUUUCCUUAUGAUGUGUUUUUAUUUCCCAUACUCAAAUGUGUCAUAUUUUUAAAAUUAUAAUUAUUUGGCAGAACAUCUUUAUGAAGAAUCUCACAGUCUGGUAGAAUUUUGCUAUCUUAAAGAGAACUGUAUAAUUAAAUGUAUUAAUGAAAUUAUACACUUUGCAGAAGUCUAAAAUCAUUACUAUCACCAAAUACAAUCACCAUACAGACAGGUAAUUCUAAUUUUUAAUGGUUUGUUCAUGGUUGUUAUAUGUCCAAAGUAUACUACAUAUUUUAUUACUAAAUGUACAGAGCAUCUCCCAUGUUUCAGUUACAAUUCUUUGUGUAUCUAGGAUUAAUAUAUAAAAUUUACUGUAUACUAAUAAGCAUGUGUACUCCUCUCCUUCAAGCUUUCUGACUUCUCUGUGCAUGAAGCUUUCUGACCAUAUCUCAAUAAAGCGCAUUCAUCUUUCAAGUAUUCUAUGAUUUUUGCAUGUGUUAGACUCUAAGUUUCAGAGUUUUAAUGAUUUUGCAUGCUGCCUUUUUUUACCUGGGCCUUUAACAGGUAAAAAAAUUAGGAAUUAAUAAUCUUUGGAGAUGAAUAUAAAUUUCCCGAUAUUUUUACAUUACUGUCUUUUAAAUAUUAUUAUUAUUAUUAUUAUUAUUAUUAUUAUUAUUUAUUUCAAGUUAUUCAAAUUAUAUUGUGGCUGUGGCCCUCUCCCUCAUCUCAGAUCCCACCCUCUUUCCCUCUUCUCCCCCUGCACCCCUCCCCUAGUCCACUGUUAGGGAAGGUUGUCCUCCCCUUUUAUUUGACCCUGUACAAGUAUUCCCCCUAUUUGACCCUAUAGAAGUAUUCCUCCUAUUGUUGUGCUGAUAGCAUUAUAGUUAUCUAUCCUUCUAUCUAACAUCUAUCCUUUGUCUAUUGUCUAUAUCAUAUAUCUAUUACACAUGCAUACACACAGUUUUGAAUAUUUCUUCAAAACACAUGUGGCUCAAUUUUUUUUUAAAUCAAUGUCUCAAAGUCAAAAUUUGAAAUGCAUGCGUCACUUUGUGAGUUAUGGCCUGAGCCUUGGAAUGUUGACAUCACAGUGGUUUCUCCCCCUGACUACUACAGAAUGUUUACACUUCAGGGGUUUGUCUACAAACUGCUGUAGCCAUUUUGGUUAGUGCCAGGUAAGAAAAGGAUAAUUUUUUGCCCAGUGAAAGGUUCUCCAUUCCAGGCUCCGAUGUAAAGGUAUUUUAAAAUGCUCAUUAUGAUUUUCAUGCUAGACUAAUGGUCUCAGGAAGUGUUCUGUCUUGAGUUCUCUAGAACCUGUGACCUAAUUCUUAACAGUUUUUUUUUUCAUGAAAAGCUACUCCUGUUAGCAAUAAUCAGUACCAUUCCCCCAAAGAAACAAAGUUAUGACAGAGAGUAAUGCUUUGAGAUAUUACAAGGAAUGAUAGCCAUGUACCUUCAAAACUAUAUGCCCAAGAUAUGAGAGAUUAUUUUCUCUUCAUCUAGUUGUAUUACCCAUUGUGCCAACAAAGUUUUGUUGGAAACUGCUCAAAUUUCAGCUCCAAAUUCAACAACCUUCUAGUUUCAAACAUAUAUUUCUCAAUAUGUGAACAUUGAUUCUACUAGAUAAGAAUGACUUUCCAGACAUACUCAUUUAAUUUCAAUUUUAUAAUGAAAUUGCAUUGGCAAUAUUUUAUAAAAUACCUUUACAUUAUUGCCAGAUGCAUUUGAUGACAACCUUGGCUGAUGUCUCUCUUUGACUGUUCAAUUCACAGGGAUCUUUAAUCCUUCCCAAGUAAAAACUAUGGCUUGUCAGUACAUAUUCCUUGAAUGAAAUGAAAUGACUUAGGCAUAGUAAUAUUCACUUAAUAAAAUAUAUAUGUUAAAUAUUCCAACUGUAUGAGCAGGAACAACAGAGAAACCAUUAAAAUUGUAGCCACUCCAUUAUUACAGGGAAUAAUUUUAUUAUGGGUCAGAGAGGAAAAAUGUUUAGAGGCACCUGGAAGAGUUCAUAGCACAGAGAAAAAGAAGCAGACUUGAUAUGACCAAGACUGUCUAGAAGAGAAUGGAGAAUAUUAGGAGAAAAGUAGAGAUAGCUUAGACAGAGACAAACUAUGCUUCAUAAAUGUACAGGCUGGACUUAGGUCCACCUACACAUAUGUAACAGAUGUGCAUCUUGGUCAGCAUGUGGGACCCCUAACAAUUGAACUGAAGGCUAUCUCUGACUCUGUUGCUUGCCCUUAGUUUCCUUUCCCCUAGCUGGGCUGUCUUGCCUGUCCUUAGUGAGAGAGGAAGUCCUACCUCAUGUUAUGUGUCAGGGUGGGUUGUUACACACAGUGAGCCUCUCUGAAGAGAAAGAGGGAAUGGGGGAGGGAAGAAUGAUGGUGGGACUGUGAAGAGAGAAGGGACGGGGCCUGGGAUGAAGAUAUGAAAUUUAUAAAUAAAUUAAUUUGUGUAAAAAAAAUCAGGGUAUUUCUAGACUAUGCAGAAAAUUAGAAUAGUGCAGAAAGAGAUGAGGCUCUUUGGGAAGGCACAGGAAUCUAGACGUGUGUUUAGAGAUAUAUAACAAGUCCAUUUACUUCCCCUUCAAGGAACCUGGAGGCCACCAUGGGUGUUGAUAUCCUCAUAGGAGCUACAGGUCAAUAGAGAGCGAUUUGUCCCUUUUGUUGGAGCAAGGAAAAUGGCUAUUUUGCUGGACCAGAACUUUUGCACAAAUUCUUGAUGAAUGCUAUUUUUGUUGACCUGGAGGCCAGCAUUGGUGGCUGAUAUCCUGAUAUCACAGGUUGAGACCUGUCCCAGGAGAAUCUAUCUUUACCCACAUGGAAGCCUAUGAGGAGUUCACCAACGAUGGAGUAUACUGGACCUUGCUAUGCCAAGGCUCCAGGAAACUCAGAAGAGACAGAAUAAGGAAAAAAAAAAUACAUCUCUCCUUGUUUAAUGAUGUUUUGGUUGUGACUAAUAACCUAUGGGUAUGUCCCUCAUGCCUGCCAUAGUAUUAGAGGCUACACUUUGAUUAGGCUUUACUGUACAAAAAUAAAAUAGUUUUUUGUUCUGUUUUGCUUUAUAAUCACUUCAUUAUUUCCCUAUUUUAUUUCUUAUUACACAUCCUCCCAUGUUUCCUUACUUUGUCUCUUUUAAAAUCAUAGCUUCUUUUUUAAUUAAUAAUUGUUACACAGAUACAUAUGUGUUAAGGUACGUAUAUGUGUGUGGAUAUAUAUAUAUAUAUUCGUAACUACAUAAUCAGCUCAGUCAGUAUAAUAUUAAUUGUAUAUAUAUUUUUCAGGACUGACCAUUUGGUAUUGAUAGCCAAUUAGUCUGCUAUUCCUAUGAGAGGUAUUUCUCUUACUCUCAAAAUUGCACAGCGGCACAGACUUUUUGAAGUAGAGUUGAAGCUUAGUGGACUUUCUUCUGUACACAUUUUCACUUUGUUAUCACAAAUGUUUCAGUCAUAUUUUAAAAAAUGAAUUAUUUAAAGUGUGAUUCUGCUGUUUGAAUUGAGAAAAAAAUAGCAAAAAUCAUGAAAAGGAGAGAGAUAUCAGCAAUUAUAGUUAUUUUGAAGCUGACUUAUGAGUAUUGGAAGUUUGUGGACUACACUAAAAUUUUUCUCAAAAACUGUUUAAAAUAUGAAAGAUAAUAUCACUGGUUAUAUUGGUUGCUCAAAGGGGAUCAUAUAUGUAAGCCUCUGAACUCAUAACUUCCAAAUUAGUGUGAAGAGAUGAGAAGCAGACACUAUCCCUACACUCAUCAGGGGAACUGCUGGUACCAAGUAGGUCCUGCUUGGUGAUCCUGCAGAUGCUAAGGACUGCUGUGAUUGGAGCAUAGAGGUGUUUUUUAGGACCACAUCACAUAUAAUCUCUAGGGGCCAUGAUCAUAGCCUUCAUAUUAUUCUGAGAGAAAUAAAAUUGGUCCUGACCUCCUCAAGUACAUAUUUUAAGGAGUAUUCUUAUAAGUAUGUAAAUAGAUUUUAGGACAGACAUCAAUAAAACAGUCUCAGUUUGGGGCGUAAAUUUUCCAGUUAUUGAGUAAUAUUCCUGAAGAUCCAUUUCAUAAAUUGUGAAAAAAAUGAAAGGAGAGAGUUCUUCUAUACAUUAUAGAGACAACCAAAUGCAUACAUUUUUCUCUCAACCCUGAGAGAAAACUCAACCCUCAACAUUUUUCUCUCACUGUAAGCUCCCACCCUAGAAAAGGGUGACUUAGUGUCUGACCAGUGUAGGCCUAAACUAAGUGAAUGGCCCAGCUGUCUGUCCAUCUUUGUCAUUUCUCCUCAGCUCCAAUUUAGUCCACAAUUGGAAAUCCUAAUUUUAUUUUGAAAGAUAGUAAUCAACUCAUUUAAAAUAAAAAGAAAAUACUGAUCAUUUUCCAUCAAUGUGUUUGUGAAACUGGUGAAUUUCACUUUGACUUUUGAAGAUAAUGGAAACUAAAAAAUGUUUGAUUUUCUUAAAAGAAAAUCUAUUUUGUUCCUCUUUGAAAACUCUUUUGUUCCUCUGUGGUUGAAUUGGAAUAGUAAUUAAAAAUGUUUUGAGAUCAUCAUUUAUAUUAUAAAAAGAGGAUUAUCAAGCUUAUGGGAUGGUUAUCAUUUUUCCAUUUUCAAUGUAGAUUAUUUCUAAUGAGAAAUACUAGAAUUAGAAGUUACAGGUUUCAUGAAGCAUUACUUCCCAAUUUUGGUUCAUAUAUGUAUAUGUAUAUGUACGUAUAUAUAUUAUGUAUAUACAUAUAUGUAUAUAUACAUUCAUACAUAUAUGCAUAAAUUCACAAGUCUUGAGGGUGGAAAGCAAAUGUAAAUAUGAAUAUUUCAUAUAUUUGAGGUGUUUGUGUGUAUAUGUGUAUCCUGAAGUACAUGUUACAUGAUAUGCUUGUAUUUUCACUAUAGGAUGUUAUGUUAGAUGGGUGGGAAAUCUUUAUUUCUUCACAUUUUGGAUUUUAGAAAUAUUUACGUGUAGGAUUUUUGAAUCAGGUUUAUACUUGUGACCUAAUUUCUCCUGAAUCUGAGAGAGUCAGAGUCAUUAUCUUCAGUCCACCAGUAUCCAAUGAAGAAUUCCAAAUUCAGGUUUACAUAACAAAUGCCCCAGAAAAUUUUCAGUCUGUCAUAAAAAUAAUGCAAAAGAAUCACAAAUGUGGGAAGGAGAACUCUCAGGAGAUAGGAGAAAGUGAGAAAAAUUAAUCAGAGCACAUUACAUAUGUGUAUGAAAUUCUUAACCAACUUCAUAUAAAAAGUGUAAAGAAAGAAUGAGACUUAGGCUCCCACAUAAUUGUUUUUCAAGAACACUUUUGAUAACAUCAGAAUGCUUGAUAAGAUGCCAUUUGUAAUCAAUGGAUGAGGUUAUUGGAAAAAAGAAUCCUCUGUGUUACUUGCACAUCGUGGGUUCACUGAAGGAGCAACAGCAGUAGGCUGGCAUGACUAAGUAAAUUGUCCUUUACUUAGUACAGGGUAAAGGACAAUGGAAUGUGAAUAUUAUGUCAGACAGUAUUUCUAUAGUAUUUAUUUUGAAAAGGUUAUCACAAUUAUUUAAUAAAAAAUCUUAACCAAUUUUAAUAUGAAAUUAUGGAAAUAAAUAAUGCAAAAAAGGUUAGUAUUUAAUUAAAUGGGGGGGUUGAAAUAUUGAGAUAGCUUUUAAAAAUGCUAUGCCUUUAAAAUCCAUAGUAUACCUAUACUACAAAACACUCACUAAUCAGAAAAAGACCAGUCUACGGGUAUUUGUGACCAUCAAAAAGUGUGUACUCAGUGACUUCCUUCAACACUAACUUUGUUGUUGUCUGUGUACCAUGGCAUAAGCUGUGCCUUGAUCAUAGAGAGGUAUGAGUCCUCCUCUGCUUUGGGACAGGAAGAACUGGGUCUUACUACAAGCAAUUCCAACUAUAAUGAAAAGCAAAUUAACAAAUACUUGAUUCUCCUUCUAGGGGAAGAAAGGUUUAAAAUAAGAGUCCAUUUCACUGAGUUACUUAGGGAUAGAUGACUUUGUGGACAUAUUCAGGACAGACAGCAGCUCUGCUUGCAAGUCCAUUCACCUGUUCUGUCCCAAGAAACAUCUUGUUGCCACUUUUUUAUAAGACCUACAGCUUGGACCUGUGUUCAGAAAAAGGAUGGCUGUAGAAAUUGUGGGUCAGAAUAAUGCUAACUCACAUAGAAAAUAUAAAUCUCUUCACCAGAAUAUUUACUAAAUAAGAAUUUAUUAGUGUAAUUGUAUGCAAGCUACCAACUCAAGUUUUCCACUUCUAUGAAUACUGAGUAUGUCUGUACACACAUUUCUAUAUAUAAGUACGUUCCUUAAGAUUUUGAUCUGUGAUAUUCAUCACGACUCUACAAAAUCCUUGGGGUGAAAAUGAAGUGCAUUGUGUCAUAUGAAGAACGUGACAGGACCAGGCCUUACCUCAUUCUUCACAUUCCUCACUGAAAAAUGACCUGGUAUUUUCUGUGUUUUUAAAGUAUACAAAUUGAUCUCUCCUCAGUGAUAUUGUGUAGUAUAAUUGAUUUUGAAAAAACUACCUCCUAUACCCUCAAGUUAAUUUCCUAAAAGUUGUAUUUGAUUGUACACAUAAAAAUAAUUACCCUUAGACUGCAAAAGGUCUUAAAUGUCUGUGCAGCAGAAUAUCACUGGUGUCUAUAUUCAACAGAUGAGGACCAGUGUCAUUAUACCAUUGGAAUCACUGAUUUGUGCACUGCAGGUAAAUUUCAAAUUCACAUUCUGAUCUUUCAAGAGAAGAUGUGAUCAUGGUAUACUGAGAAUAUCUUGAAUAUGAAGGUUGGAAUCACAGGGAUUAUGUAGUGUAAACCUUCUGUUCCAUGCAAGUAUACACCAGAAUUCAUGUCUUUUCCACAUUAAAAUUUCAUCACAGGCAACCCCCUUCAUUCCUCUGUCCAUAUAUCUAGUCUCAUCACAGAGUUGACUUAAUUAACAUAAGUGCUUGCAAGUGUAUAAACUUCUGGGUUCUGUGACUUUACUCUUUACCUGGAAAAGCAUUUCCAUACACUUGAAUAAGAAGAUCAUCUUUGUGUUGUUCUCUCAAUAUUUUCUGUCAUUUUGUAAUAUAUCUGAAGAUUUUCUAUGUUAAUUUUUGGUGUUUCUCCCAUCUAGAAUAUGAGAAGAUACUGUGUCUAGGGAUAUAUGAAGUAUUUACUGACAUUUCCAUUAAACCUUUCUUUUUAUGACUGAGUGAAAUUUGGAAGUCAAAUUGACACUAAGUGCACAUUCAAUUAAAUAUGCACCAGGCAUUUUCAAUAAUGCAUAUAACCAAAUUCAUUUGAUGUUUCUAUCUAUGCCACCUUUUAAUUUGGUGAUAUUAGAUGUAUUAUCUGUUUACACAUGCAUAUUGAGGGCCACAAACAUAAUCCAUCCUUCUGAUAAGAAUGGUUUCAGGCAGAAUAUAAAGUGGGUGAGCAGUUAAUAGUGGAAACAUGAAAGGUGAGAGUCUCUUGUGAAGAAUCAGUCACAGAAUUUCAUUAUGGAUAUGCAGCUCCAUUUAUGUAUGUAGAACCAUGGCAAAAGAGAAGUGAAAUGUAUCUGAAUGUUCCUGGCAACAAGGAUCGCAAUUUUCAGAAAUUUGAAAUAACUCACAUUUUAGCUUAUGAAUGAAAAACAGUACCUGGCAUAAGUCUAUAAAAUAGUAGAAUUAAGAAGAGUGGAAUGAGUCUUUCAGAGGCCCUGUGUGGUAGGAUUCUUUCCUGUUCCCUGUUUUCUCCCUCUUCCAAUGUCUGUCCCAUUUGCAUUUGUGAAUGAGAAUUGAGCAUCUUACCCAGGGUCAUCCUUCUUACUUAGCUUCUUUAGGUAUACAGAUUUUAGUAUGUUUACCCUAUAUAUUAUGUCUAAUAUCCACUUACAAGUGAGUAUAUACUAUGUGUAUCUUUCUACUUCUGGGAUAACUUAGGAUGAUCUUUCCUAGUUUCUACUAUUUGCCUACAAAUUUCAUGAUAUCCUUGUUUUUAUUGCUGAGUAGUAGUCCAUUGUGUAAAUGUACCACAAUUUCUGUAUCCAUUCCUCAAUUGAGGAACAUCUUGGUUCUUUGGAGAUUCUGUCUAUUAUGAAUAAAGUUGCUAUGGACAUGGUUGAGCAAA
This is a long non-coding RNA of Meriones unguiculatus (Mongolian gerbil), 9231 nucleotides long. RefSeq lists it as uncharacterized. The transcript has 6 exons. NCBI's taxonomy places the organism in Eukaryota, Metazoa, Chordata, Mammalia, Rodentia, Muridae. The record is from RefSeq and is a predicted model, not a curated record.